AGCCAGCGUCAUGUAGUGGUUGAGUGUUGGACUACAGCUCUGGAGACCUGGGUUCAAUUCCCAGCUUGGCUA
This 72-nucleotide transfer RNA is filed under the name Phrynosoma platyrhinos (Desert horned lizard). RNAcentral's name for it is "tRNA-OTHER". Lineage: Eukaryota; Metazoa; Chordata; Lepidosauria; Squamata; Phrynosomatidae. The record is from RNAcentral.